RNAcentral lists this transfer RNA (72 nucleotides) under Danionella translucida. It matches the Rfam family "tRNA". From Rfam's summary of the family: Transfer RNA (tRNA) molecules are approximately 80 nucleotides in length. Their secondary structure includes four short double-helical elements and three loops (D, anti-codon, and T loops). RNAcentral also lists the same sequence under 1 other name. Lineage: Eukaryota; Metazoa; Chordata; Actinopteri; Cypriniformes; Danionidae. The record is from Rfam by way of RNAcentral.
GGUGCUUUGGUGUAAUGGUUAGCACUCUGGAUUUGGAAUCCAGCGAUUAGAGUUCAAAUCUCGGUAGGACCU